Molecule: long non-coding RNA, 651 nt
Filed under: Phoenix dactylifera (date palm)
Lineage: Eukaryota; Viridiplantae; Streptophyta; Magnoliopsida; Arecales; Arecaceae
Description: long non-coding RNA (PDAC_LNC003381)
Source: RNAcentral
GGUGAAUUGGUUUCUCUAAAAUUUUUACUACCUUAAUUGAGUUAAUUGAUGAGUGAGUGAAGUUAAAACAAUACACAAUGCAAACACACAAGAAGUAUAGUGGUUCGGUGCUCUCCUAAGUACCUACGUCCACUCCCCAAGCGACCCCUUGGGAAUUCACUAUAAUCCCUCGGAUUACAGUUGGAUUGUUUUCCGGGCUCACAAUCCAAAAACCUUUACACUUUGGUUUUCCGGGAUCACCAAAAACCUAUGUUGGUUUUACGGGCUCACCAACAAACCUUCACAGUUGGUUUUACGAGUUCACCAACAAACCUACACCGUUGGUUUUACGGGCUCACCAACAAACCUUUACAAGGUGAUUAAGAAGAAGAAGAAAGUUGAAACUCUUAGAUGAGCAAAUAUAACAACUAUGAGCUACAAAGAAGAGUUUAGAAUAUAGUUAUCGCUUUGAUGAGACUUCUCUCUUCUUUGUCAAGAUUGCUUCACUCUUCAAGGGUUGGUGGAGCUCUUAAUGUCUCUUAGAAUCUGCUCAACCACUUCCUUUUGGCUCUUUGAAUGAAGCACUUGAUGAAGAAUGCUAGGGCUUUUUCUUUCUUGAAUGAGCUUUGAUUGAUUUGCCAAAGGAUCUUUUCUCUGAUGAAUAGUGUUACU